CCUACGGGAGGCAGCAGUGGGGAAUCUUGCACAAUGGAGGAAACUCUGAUGCAGCGACGCCGCGUGAGCGAUGAAGCCUUUCGGGGUGUAAAGCUCUUUCGGCAGGAACGAUAAUGACGGUACCUGCAGAAGAAGCUGCGGCUAACUACGUGCCAGCAGCCGCGGUAAU
Molecule: ribosomal RNA, 169 nt
Filed under: uncultured bacterium
Lineage: Bacteria
Description: partial 16S rRNA
Rfam family: Bacterial small subunit ribosomal RNA
Source: RNAcentral